GUCCACGCCCUAAACGAUGUCUACUAGUUGUUGGUGGAGUAAAAUCCAUGAGUAACGCAGCUAACGCGUGAAGUAGACCGCCUGGGGAGUACGGUCGCAAGAUUAAAACUCAAAUGAAUUGACGGGGGCCCCGCACAAGCGGUGGAUUAUGUGGAUUAAUUCGAUGCAACGCGAAAAACCUUACCUGGCCUUGACAUGUAACGAACUUUCCAGAGAUGGAUUGGUGCUCGAAAGAGAGCGUUAACACAGGUGCUGCAUGGCUGUCGU
Molecule: ribosomal RNA, 267 nt
Filed under: uncultured bacterium
Lineage: Bacteria
Description: partial 16S ribosomal RNA
Rfam family: Bacterial small subunit ribosomal RNA
Source: RNAcentral